CCAACGGCCCUCUUUAGGGCCACAAAUAUACGAAAUCCCUAUUGGU
This 46-nucleotide non-coding RNA is filed under the name Caenorhabditis japonica. Its description in RNAcentral is "sRNA CJA49007". It matches the Rfam family "Histone 3' UTR stem-loop". From Rfam's summary of the family: The mRNAs of metazoan histone genes lack a poly-A tail. Lineage: Eukaryota; Metazoa; Nematoda; Chromadorea; Rhabditida; Rhabditidae. The record is from RNAcentral.